RNAcentral lists this long non-coding RNA (242 nucleotides) under Mytilus galloprovincialis (Mediterranean mussel). The record is from RNAcentral. Lineage: Eukaryota; Metazoa; Mollusca; Bivalvia; Mytilida; Mytilidae.
CAAAAUAGAGGGAAAAGGUGGUUUCAAGAGUCUUUGGAAGACAGGCAGACCUUGGCUGCAGGUAUCUGCUGAGUCAAUGACUUGUACUUGGUGUACAGAUGUACACGAAGCACCAAAUUAGUUUUGCUGGACAACAGCAAAAGUCCAGACACUGAAGUCCCAUGAAUCCAGUAAAGCUCACAUCAAAAGUGUUGGUGUCAUUAAAGGGAGAACACUUGUUGCUAAAAGAGAGAUAACAGAAG